This 491-nucleotide ribosomal RNA is filed under the name uncultured bacterium. Its description in RNAcentral is "partial 16S ribosomal RNA". It matches the Rfam family "Bacterial small subunit ribosomal RNA", at positions 28 to 507 of the family's 1533-position model. The record is from RNAcentral.
GAUGAACGCUGGCUACAGGCUUAACACAUGCAAGUCGAGGGGAAACGACGGGGAAGCUUGCUUCCCCGGGCGUCGACCGGCGCACGGGUGAGUAACGCGUAUCCAACCUGCCUCUGACUGAGGGAUAACCCGUCGAAAGUCGGCCUAAUACCUCAUGGCAUCGUCUGCGGGCAUCCAACGACGAUUAAAGAUUUCAUCGGUCAGAGAUGGGGAUGCGUCUGAUUAGCUUGUUGGCGGGGUAACGGCCCACCAAGGCGACGAUCAGUAGGGGUUCUGAGAGGAAGGUCCCCCACAUUGGAACUGAGACACGGUCCAAACUCCUACGGGAGGCAGCAGUGAGGAAUAUUGGGCAAGGGGCGAGGGCCUGAACCAGCCAAGUAGCGUGCAGGAUGACGGCGCUAGGGGUUGUAAACUGCUUUUAUGGGGGGAUAAAGUGAGGGACGUGUCCUUCAUUGCAGGUACCGCAUGAAUAAGGACCGGCUAAUUCCGUG